Eufriesea mexicana is the source of this 630-nucleotide long non-coding RNA. RefSeq lists it as uncharacterized. The transcript has 4 exons. NCBI's taxonomy places the organism in Eukaryota, Metazoa, Arthropoda, Insecta, Hymenoptera, Apidae. The record is from RefSeq and is a predicted model, not a curated record.
UUGCUGGAUUAUGAAUCUAAAAAGGAUGCAAUUUUUGCGGAGUUCUUGAAUCAGACACAUUAUGAUUUCAUUAAAAUCUGCAAGAAGCUCUCUCUCAACGUAUGUGAUUAAUAUGACGACAUUUCAAAGGACUUGCGCACCGCCAUGAAAUGCGUUUAUCGUAAGUCGAUAAAUUAAUUUUCAAGAUCGAUAUCGCGUGCAUUUAACGUCCGCCAUAAACUAUCGAAUCUCGCACAGUGAACUAGUUUCAACAACCAGACAGGUUACCCAGGCCAUCCUGCUUGAAUAUGAGAGUCGACGUCCUUAAACGCAUCGUAUGCCUCGUAACACUCAUCCGAUUAUCCGUUCAUUCAUUUCGCUUAAUUGCGCACACCGUUAUCAAGCUGCAUUUAAUCUGAACAUCCGUGGAAUGCUAUCCCAAGUUGUUUUAUAAAAAGAGAAGUUUAUUCGAAUAUAGACCACGUUAUGAUAAUGUGCGAGUGAAUAUGUGGGUAACUGUGCUUGAAGAGACAAGUGAGGUUAGUUACGCAGCACGCAAAACGAGAUGUUGAGUCAGAGGUUAAAAUUGUAAUAACAAAUGAAGGUUAUCGACAGUAAUUAAAACAAAAUUCACUUGGAGAUCAGUCACGC